This 847-nucleotide long non-coding RNA is filed under the name Linum usitatissimum (flax). Its description in RNAcentral is "long non-coding RNA (LUSI_LNC004175)". The record is from RNAcentral. Lineage: Eukaryota; Viridiplantae; Streptophyta; Magnoliopsida; Malpighiales; Linaceae.
UAGAAUGGAUGUGUUAAAAAAUUUCUGAAUAAAUUAAUUGUUAAAAUUAUUGAUGUACCGAUAAAACUUUUAUUAAAAAUUAUUGAUAUGACGAUAAAUUUUUUAUUAGAAAUUGCUAAUGCUAAACCAUUUUGGGAUGAAAAUGGCAUAAAAAUAUCAAAAAUUGAACCACCAAUUCGAGCAAGAUUUGUGAUUUUCCAAGUUACUUGCAAAAACAUAUUUGAAUGUGUCCAACUCAUCCCUUGAAUAUUUAUUACCAGAAAAUGCAACAACAAAAAUUACAGAAGAAACAAAUCAGCGAAUGAAGUAAUUGAUUGGAAUGAAAUGAAUUACUCUCAAUAUUUGGAUACUAAUCUAUCUACACCAGACGAUGACGACAACACUGUAUAUCAAUAUCUUUAUCUAUGAUACUACAAUCUAUCAAAUAAUUUGAAUUUAAAAUUAAGCAACGGCAGUUCAGCCGGACGGCGGCGGUAGAUAGUAUACGGCGUCAGAAAUAAACCAUGAAAUUAGUAGAGGAAGAAUGUUGGAUGGUUGGAGGAAAAGUCAAGAACCGGAAAUCAAUAUAACCAUCCCGAACGCUGACGUUUUGCCUUCCUGCCGGGAAUUGACAAAUAAGAACCGUGAGUCUGGCGAUUGCCUCCGUGUAUCCUUCCAACAGCUCCGCCGCCGCCGCUACCGUGAUCAUCUCGUAUUAUACUUUCUGAAGGACUUGGUAUUUCAUUAAUUUCUGAAUGGGAGAUGGACGGAGGGAUAUAUAUUUGGGAUGGUGAGUCGUAUUUAAUUUGUCUUCAUCUAAAUUGGAAUGACGUGGACGAAUGAGGCGCCCCCGUUGGUUGAUGACUCG